GUCUAAUCGUGGAUUGGAGGGUUUUGUUUUUCUUGUUUUGUUUUGCUUUCUUUUGAUUUUUAGCUGAGUUCUUCCCUCUGAGUCUAACGCGCACUGGCAUUUUACGGGUGUAUGUCAAAGGGGGCUGAAUGAUCGAAGCCCGGGUCUUGAUUUCAUCAUUCUCUCCUGCUCCCGUGUCUGUCAGAUGUUUUUUCUCUUACUCUCUCCCUUCCACCCAAGUGCCAGGUCAUCAGCUUACGUUGCCACCUCGUUACAGGUGGUGGUCCUUACGAACACUCCUUUGGAGUACCAGCUACAGGUGGGUGAGGUCUGUCACAGCCGUGGAAUCAAGCUGGUGGUGGCAGAUACUCGGGGCUUGUUUGGGCAGCUGUUCUGUGACUUUGGAGAGGAAAUGAUUGUCAGAGAUUCCACUGGGGAAGAGCCACUGAGCGCUGUGAUUUCCGUGGUCACCAAGGUGAGGAGACCGGGACUUGUGAUCUGCACAUGGGCAGAACUGUCUCAUCUCUGAACUCAGCUCUGAAGCCCACUCCUUUCCAACCAGGACUGCCCUGGAGUUGUCACCUGCCUGGAGGAAGCCCAGCAUGGGUUUGAGAGCGGCGAUUUUGUCUCCUUCUCGCAAGUCCAGGGCAUGAGUGAACUCAAUGACAUGCGGCCCAUAGAGAUCCAAGUCCUAGGUAUACCAGGGCUGGGGGUGGUGAGAAAUGGUUGGCCAGAGCAGACGGAAAGUGAUUGGUGGGUGAGGCUUGUCCCAGGUGCGCAUUUCUGUGGUCUGAGCCGAAUUGGAGGCCAGAAGAGAGGUGGGACUGCAAUCUGAGCUGGGGUGCAGGAGAGACGGGCACGGGGUCUGACUGCAAAUACGUUGCCCAGAAAGAUGAAGGAAGAAGAACUUUAUGGUACUAGUGUUUUCCAUUUCCUUUG
Molecule: long non-coding RNA, 918 nt
Filed under: Fukomys damarensis (Damara mole-rat)
Lineage: Eukaryota; Metazoa; Chordata; Mammalia; Rodentia; Bathyergidae
Description: lncRNA (ENSFDAG00000022146.1)
Source: RNAcentral